RNAcentral lists this ribosomal RNA (253 nucleotides) under uncultured bacterium. RNAcentral's name for it is "partial 16S ribosomal RNA". It matches the Rfam family "Bacterial small subunit ribosomal RNA", at positions 524 to 776 of the family's 1533-position model. The record is from RNAcentral.
UACGUAGGGUGCGAGCGUUAAUCGGAAUUACUGGGCGUAAAGGGUGCGCAGGCGGCCGAGCAAGUCGAGUGUGAAAGCCCCGAGCUUAACUUGGGAACUGCGCUCGAAACUACUUGGCUAGAGUGUGGCAGAGGGAGGUGGAAUUCCACGUGUAGCGGUGAAAUGCGUAGAGAUGUGGAGGAACACCGAUGGCGAAGGCGACCGUGUGGGCCGCAACUGACGCUGAGGCACGAAAGCGUGGGGAGCAAACGGG